Molecule: ribosomal RNA, 374 nt
Filed under: uncultured bacterium
Lineage: Bacteria
Description: bacterial SSU rRNA
Rfam family: Bacterial small subunit ribosomal RNA
Source: RNAcentral
UAAUACGGAGGGUGCGAGCGUUAUCCGGAAUUACUGGGUUUAAAGGGUGCGUAGGCGGCUAUGUAAGUCAGGAGUGAAAGUUUGCGGCUCAACCGUAAAAUUGCUUUUGAUACUGCAUGGCUAGAAUUAGGAUGAGGUCAGCGGAAUGUGGCAUGUAGCGGUGAAAUGCAUAGAUAUGCCAUAGAACACCAAUUGCGAAGGCAGCUGGCUAGACCUGGAUUGACGCUGAGGCACGAAAGCGUGGGGAGCGAACAGGAUUAGAUACCCUGGUAGUCCACGCCCUAAACGAUGCUCACUCGACGUAUGAUGCUAGACAUUGUGCGUCCAAGGGAAACCGUUAAGUGAGCCACCUGGGGAGUACGACCGCAAGGUUG